This 468-nucleotide ribosomal RNA is filed under the name uncultured bacterium. RNAcentral's name for it is "partial 16S ribosomal RNA". It matches the Rfam family "Bacterial small subunit ribosomal RNA", at positions 28 to 507 of the family's 1533-position model. The record is from RNAcentral.
GACGAACGCUGGCGGCGUGCUUAACACAUGCAAGUCGAACGGAAAGGCCCUGCUUUUGUGGGGUGCUCGAGUGGCGAACGGGUGAGUAACACGUGAGUAACCUGCCCUUGACUUUGGGAUAACUUCAGGAAACUGGGGCUAAUACCGGAUAGGAGCACCUGCUGCAUGGGGGGGGUUGGAAAGGUUCGGCGGUUGGGGAUGGACCCGCGGCUUAUCAGCUUGUUGGUGGGGUAGUGGCUUACCAAGGCUUUGACGGGUAGCCGGCCUGAGAGGGUGACCGGCCACAUUGGGACUGAGAUACGGCCCAGACUCCUACGGGAGGCAGCAGUGGGGAAUAUUGCACAAUGGGCGGAAGCCUGAUGCAGCAACGCCGCGUGCGGGAUGACGGCCUUCGGGUUGUAAACCGCUUUCAGCUGUGACGAAGCGUGAGUGACGGUAAUGGGUAAAGAAGCACCGGCUAACUACGUG